CGCGGAGUAAAGCAACUUGGUAGCUCGCAAGGCUCAUAACCUUGAGGUCACAGGUUCAAAUCCUGUCUGUAUGC
This 74-nucleotide transfer RNA is filed under the name Beta vulgaris subsp. vulgaris (sugar beet). It matches the Rfam family "tRNA". Rfam says of the family: Transfer RNA (tRNA) molecules are approximately 80 nucleotides in length. Their secondary structure includes four short double-helical elements and three loops (D, anti-codon, and T loops). The record is from Rfam by way of RNAcentral. Lineage: Eukaryota; Viridiplantae; Streptophyta; Magnoliopsida; Caryophyllales; Amaranthaceae.